This 569-nucleotide unclassified non-coding RNA is filed under the name Hevea brasiliensis (rubber tree). The record is from RNAcentral. Lineage: Eukaryota; Viridiplantae; Streptophyta; Magnoliopsida; Malpighiales; Euphorbiaceae.
AGUCUAUAUGAAGGACCAUUAACCUGUAAGAAACACAAGGGAGUCUUUUCAAUUCAAUUCAUCUUCUCCAACUCAGUAAUAGAAAUUUGAAACCAAGAAAAAACAAGGAAUCUGGAAUUUCCAAGGACACAUGAUGGUGAAGUACAUUUUAUAUGAUAUCCUUCAUGGCAUGUUCUAAUAUAAUCCUUCACAUGCAUAACUCAGAAAGUUGGACAGUUGUUUCAUUUGGUUAGACAUUACACAUCCUAUGCCUUGAUACUGAAUGCAAUUCCUUGUCAAGAAACACACGAGUCAAAUGCUUUGCUACAGCAGGAUUUAGCUUAGAAAUUAGAUGAAUGAUAGAUCCUCUAAAUGAAACAUGAACAAAUGAAUUGAAACUGGAUAAAUAUGACAGCAGUAUCCUUGUGGCCAAUUUCUCAACUGCAUGCAAGUUCCAAAUUUUGUUUAAGUAAAUGAAUUGAAACAGGAUAAAUAUGACAGCAAUAUCCUUGUGGCCAAUUUCUCAACUGCAUGCAAGUUCCAAAUUUUGUUUAAGUAAAUGAAUUGAAACAGGAUAAAUAUGACAGCAA